RNAcentral lists this transfer RNA (76 nucleotides) under Ignavibacteria bacterium. RNAcentral describes it as "tRNA-Arg". It matches the Rfam family "tRNA". Rfam says of the family: Transfer RNA (tRNA) molecules are approximately 80 nucleotides in length. The record is from RNAcentral. Lineage: Bacteria; Pseudomonadati; Ignavibacteriota; Ignavibacteria.
GCCCCGGUAGCUCAGUGGAUAGAGCAGCGGUUUCCUAAACCGUUGGUCGGAGGUUCAACUCCUCUCCGGGGUACAA